UAAAGUUUAAUGGAGCAAAUUAGGAAAGGCCAGAGGUUGAUACUCUUCCCCUUACCCUUUCAAGGCCAUAUAAACCCUAUGCUUGAGCUAGCUAAUGUUCUACACUUCAGGGGCUUCUCCAUAACCAUCAUUCACACCAACUUCAACUCUCUCAACCCUUCAACCCAUCCUCACUUCACCUUCCACUCGAUCCCUGAUGGCCUAUCCGAAACUGAGACCUCCACAAAAGAUCCCGUCCUACUUAUUUCUUGUCUAAAUGCACACUGUUGUGAUCCUUUCCGGAACUGCCUGGCUAACUUGUUAUCUGAUGAUGGUUCAGAGGAGCCUAUUGCUUGUUUAAUCACUGACGCUCUCUUUUAUUUCACUAAAUCUGUUGCUAAGAGCCUCAAGCUUCCAAGGAUGCUGCUAAGAACAGGAAGUGCCACAUCGACUAUUGUUUAUGCCGUAUUUCCACUUCUAUGGGAAAAGGGUUACCUCCCAAAACAAGGUUAGUUUCUCUGAAAACACCUAGUUGCCUACUAAUGCCUCAGGUUUAUAUUCCUAAAUCCUCUACUAAUUAGGUCAUGUAUUUUCCAACUAUGCUCAAACUUAGACUGCUAUCUUUUUACUGUUUUGUUAGAAUCUCAACUAGAAGAGCCAGUGGUAGACCUGUCACCACUCAAAGUGAAAGACCUUCCAAUGAUGAACUCUUGUGACCCACAGGGAUAUUAUCAACUACUGAUUCAAAUGGUAAAGGAAAUCAAAACCGCAGAUGGAAUUAUUUUCAAUACUUUUGAAGAUCUUGAAGAACAAGCACUGGCUACAUUUCGACAAGAAUUUCCCAUCCCAGUUUUUCCAAUAGGUCCAUUUCACAAAUGGUUCUCAACCUCCUAUUCAAGUAGCUUAUUAUCAGAGGAUGAAAGUUGCAUUUCGUGGCUAAAUACUCAAGCACCAAAGUCUGUUGUCUAUGUUAGCUUUGGGAGCACUGCUGCAGUAAAUGAAGCUCAAUUUUUGGAAAUAGCUUGGGGAUUAGCCAACACCAAUCAGGCGUUCUUGUGGGUGGUUCGACCUGGAUUAAUCCAAGGCUCUGAAUGGCUAGAAAAAUUACCUCAAGGGUACCUGGAGGCUUUAGAUGGGAAGGGUCACAUUGUGAAAUGGGCACCACAGAAAAAGGUGCUGGCUCAUCCAGCUGUGGGACUAUUCUGGACUCACAAUGGGUGGAAUUCAACAUUGGAGAGUAUUUCUGAGGGGGUGCCUAUGGUUUGUAUGCCACAUUUCGCCGAUCAAAUGGUAAAUGCAAGAUAUGUAAGUGAUGUUUGGAGAGUAGGGUUGCAGUUAGAGAAUGGGAUCAAGAGAGACGAAAUUGAAAAAACAAUUCAAAAACUGAUGGCAGAGAAAGAAGGGGAAGAGAUCAAAGACGAAAUGUCAAUGCUUAAGGAGAAGACAAAUCUUUCACUCAGAGAAGGUGGCUCUUCAUACCAAUCCUUGGAUGGCUUGGUUAACCAUAUUCUAUCAUUAUAGUCACUGGACGUUGAUCAAAAUGUAUCAUAUUUUCAUCACUAUCAAGUCCCUGAUUGAUCAAAAUGUGUCUGUACUCUGUAGCAUAUCAUCUAUAGGCCAAACAGAAAAAACAGUACAUCAGACUGAGUUUAGAUCACGCAAGUAUUUAUCUGUAGUUCUAUCAAGUUUAGAUCUACGCAAGUAUUUAUAAAAAGACUCCGUUCCUUGUAUUCAGUAUUAUUGGUUUUGUACAAUUCCAGAACAGAACUAAAAGGCUCUUCUCUCUCUUUAUUCGUUUUUCUCUCAUAAUUAUAUAGCCUUUCACUCUUAUGCACUAUAUAUAUAUAUGAUCAAUUUCAGUUUACAUCCCUGAGGUUUAGGGUUAACAUUAUUUCACUCCUCAUAUUUAUAAUUUAAAAAAUUUACCACCUGAAAUUUUCAAUUUUUAUAAAUCAUGCCCAAUUGUUGAAAUUCUGUUUAAUUCAGACGUUAAUUUUGACUUCAUAACUCAUUAAAAAGGCUAAUAUAGUCUUAUAAUAACAUAAAUCUCCUCUUAGAAUUUUUUUUCUACUAUCUCAUGCUAUCAUUUAAUCACUUAACCUUCAAAUUGGACGAAAUUUUAGGAAUUAUGUAUGAUUUAUGAAAAUUGAAGACUUUAAGGGGUAAAUUUUUAAAAUUAAAAAUAUGGAGAGUGAAACGAUGUUAACCCUAAACCUCGGAGAGUAAAUUGAAAUUAAUCCUAAUAUAUACUCCACAUAAUUACAUAUUUCAGAAAAUUUUAUAUGAAAGUGAAAUGUGUAUUUUAAUCUAAUAAUGGGUUCAUUAUUAGAAGAUAAUCAACAGAAACAAUAAGAAUAAUACAGUCAUGAGUCAUUUCAGUGUCUAUUUCAGUGUCUAUGUUUUAUUCAAUGCACCUGCAAAUUAAGGGUCUACAUCUAGCAAACAAGUGGCAAAUAAAUUAAGACUAUGAGAGCUUGUAGUCAAAAAAAGGAUUAUGAUCCUCUCUUUGGCUGGCAGUUGUCUUUGGUUAUCCUUAACUUUGAAUCUCAUUCGUCCAUUUAAAAUCCUAAGGUUUAAAACCAUGACAGCUCAGCAAGUUCCCACUAAAACUCAUUAAAUGAGACAUUUUAAUUACAAACGUCGUUUCUAUGUCGACGGAGACGUUAAAAUGAUUGAGUUCUCUUUCUCUUCCUUUACUUCUCCGCCUUCAGCCGUCUUCUAGUUCUUACUCACCUUCUUGUCAUCUCUUCCUUUGUUCCUGGGGGAUAUUUAUUUUCAAAUCAGGAUUCGCACUAAAGCUCAAAUCGGAAAAGACCCACCAAGAAUUGUAAUCCAAUUUGGGAUGCAGUUGAAAGGUUUUGUUGAUAACCGUAGGUGUAAACCAGAAAUAACAAGAACAGCAGCUGAAAAGCCCGACCAAGAUUUGUUGAUUCAUUCCUUUCGAUUGGGUUUUAAAUUUGGUUUUUUUUUUUAUUUCGAAUGGGCGGCGCUGAAAGUGGCGACCUGGGUCGCGGCUUCUCUGUUUUCAACCCGGUCGGAUGAACUGUUGCCGACGAGGUCGUUGGAAGUGGGUUUGUGGUUGAUUCGGACUUGGAGUUGGUUUCGCUGAAGCUUUUGAUGACAACUUUGCUUCGGGAGCGGCGGCGGGCCGGCCACCAGAGACGGGAGCAGAGGCGGAGCAGGCGGGGAAAAUGGCUUUGGGUCAGAAAUUUGUUUUGGGUUGUGGGUUUGUUGGAGAAGGAGAAAAAAGAUGGAGUCUUUGAAAAUGAAGAAGACUCUGAGGAGUUGGGUUUGGCAUGAAUUUGUUGAAGGAAAUUGCAGGUGCUGGGUUUCUUGCACUCAGAUGAAUGUUGGGGGAGACGUUAAACUGUUGAAGGAGAGAUGAAAUAGAUAGAGAUGUAACAGCGUUAAGCAUUGAUAUAUGUGGAGUAUUAAAAGUACUGUAUUUAUUAUAGAGUUUGCUGAUGUGGGGUUUUAUUAGCCUUUAGAUUUUUCAUCAACGGUUGAUAAUAAAAGCUAAGGAUAAACAAAGGCACCUACCAACCAAUGAGAGGAUCCUAAUCCAAAAUAGAAAGAAAAGAAAUUAAGACAAUGAGAGACGUAACAAAUUAAACUUCAAACAUACAAUUUUGUGGAUCAAAACUGAUGACUAUCAGUGACCAGUCCAUCAAUAGAGAGAGAGAGAGUUGAUUAGAUGGUCAUUGACGGUGAUAACCAGCAAAACUGGAUCCACAAAAUUGUCAAUAGGUUAUAGCGCUAUGUUCAUUAAUAUAUAGAUAUGUAAAGAAAGAAUCAAAGAAACAACACUGGAACAAUUUAGACAUCAGGAGUAGGGAGCAAAGGGGACUCAAACCAGAGCCAAACAAUUUAGACUCCAUUUCGCUCUAAAGUUUAAUGGAGCAAAUUAGGAAAGGCAAGAGGUUGAUACUCUUCCCAUUACCCCUUCAAGGCCGUAUAAACCCUAUGCUUGAGCUAGCUAAUGUUCUACACUUCAGAGGCUUCUCCAUAACCAUCCUCCACACCAACUUCAACUCUCUCAACCCUUCAAACCAUCCUCACUUUACCUUCCACUCGAUCCCUGAUGGCCUAUCCGAAACUGAGACCUCCACAAAAAGUCACAUGCUCCUUGUUUCUUGUCUAAACGCAAACUGUCAUGAUCCUUUCCGAAACUGCCUAGCUAACUUGUUAUCCGAUGAUGGUUCAGAGGAGCCUAUUGCUUGCUUAAUCACUGACCCUCUCUUUGACUUCACUCGAUCUGUCGCUAAGAGCCUUAAGCUUCCAAGGAUGCUGCUAAGAACAGGAAGUGCCACAUCGACUACUGUUUUUGCCGCAUUUCCACUUCUAUGGGAAAAGGGUUACCUCCCCAAACAAGGUAAGUUCUUCUGAAAACACCUAGUUGCCUGGUGGCUAAGAUUUAUAAGCCUAGGUGUUUACUGCUUGAUGGGUCAUGUAUUUUUCAAUUAUCCUCAUACUUAGACAUCUAUGGUUUCACUGCUUUGUUAGAAUCUCAACUAGAAGAGCCAGUAGUAGAGUUGCCACCACUCAAAGUCAAGGACCUUCCAAUGAAUUCUGGUGACCCAAAGAUAUUUUAUCAACUAGUAACUGAACUGGCAAAUGAGGUCAAGACUUCAGAUGGAGUUAUUUUCAAUACUUCUGAAGAUCUUGAAGAACAAGAAUCCGACAAGACUUUCCCAUCCCAAUUUUCCCAAUAGGUCCAUUUCACAAAUGGUUCCCAACCUCCUAUUCAAGUAGCUUAUUAUCAGAGGAUGAAAGUUGCAUUUCGUGGCUAAAUACUCAAGCACCAAAGUCUGUUGUCUAUGUUAGCUUUGGGAGCACUGCUGCAGUAAAUGAAGCUCAAUUUUUGGAAAUAGCUUGGGGAUUAGCCAACACCAAUCAGCCUUUCUUGUGGGUGGUUCGACCUGGAUUACUCCAACGCUCUGAAUGGCUAGAAAAAUUACCUCAAGGGUACCUGGAGGCUUUAGAUGGGAAGGGUCACAUUGUGAAAUGGGCACCACAGAAAAAGGUGCUGGCUCAUCCAGCUGUGGGACUAUUCUGGACUCACAAUGGGUGGAAUUCAACAUUGGAGAGUAUUUCUGAGGGGGUGCCUAUGGUCUGUAUGCCAAUUUUUGCCGAUCAAAUGUUAAAUGCAAGAUAUGUCAGUGAUGUUUGGAGAGUAGGGUUGCAGUUAGAGAAUGGGAUCAAGAGAGACGAAAUUGAAAAAACAAUUCGAAAACUGAUGACAGAGAAAGAAGGGGAAGAGAUCAAAGACAAAAUGUCAAAGCUUAAGGAGAAGACAAAUCUUUCACUCAGAGAAGGUGGCUCUUCAUACCAAUCCUUGGAUGGCUUGGUUAACCAUAUUCUAUCAUUAUAGUCACUGGACGUUGAUCAAAAUGUAUCAUAUUUUCAUCACUAUCAAGUCACUGAUUGAUCAAAAUGUGUCUGUACUCUGUAGCAUAUCAUCUAUAGGCCAAACAGACAAAUCAGUACAUCAGACUGAGUUUAGAUCACGCAAGUAUUUAUAUGUAGUUCUAUCAAGUUUAGAUCUACGCAAGUAUUUAUAAGAAGACUCCGUUCCUUGUAUUCAGUAUUAUUGGUUUUGUACAAUUCCAGAACAGAACUAGAAGGCUCUUCUCUCAUAAUUAUACAGGCUUUCACUCUUAUGCACUACUUAUAAUAUAUAGGAUUAAUUUCAGUUUACACCCCUGAGGUUUAGGGUUAACAUCAUUUCACUUCUCAUACUUAUAAUUUUGAAAAUUUACACCCUAAAGUUUUCAAUUUUCAUAAAUCAUGUCCAAUUGCUGAAAUUUUGUCUAAUUCAGACUUUAAUUUUGACUUCAUAACUCACUAAAAAGGCUAAAAUAGUCUUAUAACAACAUAAAUCGCUUUUUAGGACUUUUUUCCUACGAUUUCAUGCUAUCAUUUAACCUCCAAAUUGGACGAAAUUUUAGCAAUUGUGUUUUGACUUUAUGUAAAAAUUGGAGACUUUAAGGGGUAAAUUUUUAAAAUUAAAAGUAUGAGGAGUGAAACGAUGUUUAACCCUAAAUUUUGAAAAUUUACACCCUAAAGUUUUCAAUUUUCAUAAAUCAUGCCCAAUUGCUGAAUUUCUGUCUAAUUCAGACGUUAAUUUUGAUUUCAUAACUCACUAAAAAGGCUAAAAUAGUCUUAUAACAACAUAAAUCGCUUUUUAUUAUUUUUUUCCUACGAUCUCAUGCUAUCAUUUAACUUCCAAAUUGGACGAAAUUUUAGCAAUUGUGUCUGAUUUAUGAAAAUUGGAGACUUUAGGGGUAAAUUUUUACAAUUAAAAAUACGGGGAGUGAAACGAUGUUAACUUUAAACCUCAGGGGGUAAAUUGAAAUUAAUCCUAAUAUAUACUCCACAUAAUUACAUAUUUCAGAAAAUUUUAUAUGAAAGUGAAAUGUGUAUUUUAAUCUAAAAUGGGUUCAUUAUUAGAAGAUAAUCAACAGAAACAGUAAGAAUAAUACAGUCAUGAGUCAUUUCAGUGUCUAUGUUUUAUUCAAUGCACCUGCAAAUUAAGGGUCUACAUCUAGCAAACAAGUGGCAAAUAAAUUAAGACUAUGAGAGCUUGUAGUCAAAAAAAGAAAUAAAAGAAAUUAAGACUACGAGAGACGUGACAAAUUAAAGUUCAAACAUACAAUGUUGUCAAUAGGUUAUAGUGCUAUGUUCAUUAAUAUAUAGAUAUGUAAAGAAAGAAACAACACUGGAACAAUAUAUUUAGACUCCAGGAGUAGGGAGCAAAGGGGACUCAAACCAGAGCCAAGCAAGUUAGACUCCAUUCGCUCUAAAUUUUAAUGGAGCAAAUUAGGAAAGGCCAGAGGUUAAUACUCUUCCCGUUACCCUUUCAAGGCCAUAUAAACCCUAUGCUUGAGCUAGCUAAUGUUCUACACUUCAGAGGCUUCUCCAUAACCAUCCUCCACACCAACUUCAACUCUCUCAACCCUUCAAACCAUCCUCACUUCACCUUCCACUCGAUCCCUGAUGGCCUAUCCGAAACUGAGACCUCCACAAAAAGUCCCAUGCUCCUUGUUUCUUGUCUAAACAGACGCUGUCAUGAUCCUUUCCGAAACUGUCUAGCUAACUUGUUAUCCGAUGACGGUUCAGAGGAGCCUAUUGCUUGCUUAAUCACUGACCCUCUCUUUAACUUCACUCAAUCUGUCGCUAAGAGUUUUAAGCUUCCAAGGAUGCUGCUAAGAACAGGAAGUGUCACAUCGACUAUUGUUUAUGCCGCAUUUCCACUUCUAUGGGAAAAGGGUUAC
Molecule: long non-coding RNA, 7253 nt
Filed under: Fragaria vesca (wild strawberry)
Lineage: Eukaryota; Viridiplantae; Streptophyta; Magnoliopsida; Rosales; Rosaceae
Description: long non-coding RNA (FVES_LNC003824)
Source: RNAcentral